This 577-nucleotide ribosomal RNA is filed under the name uncultured bacterium. RNAcentral describes it as "partial 16S ribosomal RNA". It matches the Rfam family "Bacterial small subunit ribosomal RNA", at positions 355 to 926 of the family's 1533-position model. The record is from RNAcentral.
CUAAGAAUAUUCCGCAAUGGACGGAAGUCUGACGGAGCGACGCCGCGUGGAUGACGAAGGCCGAAAGGUUGUAAAGUUCUUUUGCUGGGGAAGAAUAACCGCAGGAGGGAAUGCCUGUGGGAUGACAAGAACCGGCGAAUAAGCCCCGGCCAACUACGUGCCAGCAGCCGCGGUAACACGUAGGGGGGCGAGCGUUGUUCGGAAUUACUGGGCGUAAAGGGCAUGUAGGCGGCUUGGAAAGCCUGGCGUGAAAGUCUGCAGCUUAACUGCAGGGGUGCGCUGGGAACUGCUGAGCUUGAGUGACGGAGAGGGAGCUGGAAUUCCUGGUGUAGGGGGUGAAAUCUGUAGAUAUCAGGAAGAACACCGAUGGCGAAGGCAAGCUCCUGGCCGAUGACUGACGCUGAGGUGCGAAAGUGUGGGGAUCAAACAGGAUUAGAUACCCUGGUAGUCCACACAGUCAACGAUGUGCACUAGGUGCUGGGGCGGUAGCUUCGGUGCCGGAGCGAACGUGGUGAAGUGCACCGCCUGAGGAGUAUGCUCGCAAGGGUGAAACUCAAGAAUUGACGGGGUCAUAGCU